This 800-nucleotide small RNA is filed under the name Pongo abelii (Sumatran orangutan). RNAcentral's name for it is "retained intron". The record is from RNAcentral. Lineage: Eukaryota; Metazoa; Chordata; Mammalia; Primates; Hominidae.
UUCUAUGAGAUCAUUCCAAAGCGCCUCAUUUCCAUCUUCACUGAGCAGGAGUUAGAGCUGCUUAUAUCAGGACUGCCCACCAUUGACAUCGAUGAUCUGAAAUCCAACACUGAAUACCACAAGUACCAGUCCAACUCUAUUCAGAUCCAGUGGUUCUGGAGAGCAUUGCGUUCUUUCGACCAAGCUGACCGUGCCAAGUUCCUCCAGUUUGUCACGGGUACUUCCAAGGUACCCCUGCAAGGCUUUGCUGCCCUCGAAGGCAUGAAUGGCAUUCAGAAGUUUCAGAUCCAUCGAGAUGACAGGUCCACAGAUCGCCUGCCUUCAGCUCACACAUGGUAAAAGGAAGGGUUUGUUUCUCCUUUUCCGCGCUUAGAUUGAGCUUGCGUACUUGAUGUUUUCAGGACCCUACCCAAGAUUGGGAACGCAAAUGUGGCUGAGUCCUGGACCUUGGGUAACUCACAAUUUGGUGUUUCUACGGAGGUGAUGUUUGAGAUGAGAUGUGCUAGACAUAGUGGGGGCUGGGGAGACACUGGCAGGUAAACAGCACCACAAGAGAGCAUGGUGUAUUCCAGGGCCAGCGUGACUGGAGCAAGGAGGAGUUGCAGGGAGCAGAAGUCUAAAGAGCUCAGCAGAGGUCCGAUUACCAGUGACUCUGAAAACCUCCUUCAAGUUUGCACUUUAGCCUGUGGGCGAGUGAGGCCAGGGUAUUUAAGGAGGAGUGACAGGGUCAGAUUUUUGGUUUUGGUGCCUGAUGGCCAGUUUGGGAGCCAGAUAAAGGGGGGCAGACUGGGCUGAGACAA